UACAGAGGUCCCAAGCGUUGUUCGGAUUCACUGGGCGUAAAGGGUGCGUAGGCGGUCGGGUAAGUCUGAUGUGAAAUCUCACAGCUUAACUGUGUAACUGCAUUGGAUACUAUCCGGCUCGAGGAAUGGAGGGGAGACUGGAAUACUUGGUGUAGCAGUGAAAUGCGUAGAUAUCAAGUGGAACACCAGUGGCGAAGGCGAGUCUCUGGACAUUUCCUGACGCUGAGGCACGAAAGCCAGGGGAGCAAACGGG
This 253-nucleotide ribosomal RNA is filed under the name uncultured bacterium. RNAcentral's name for it is "partial 16S ribosomal RNA". It matches the Rfam family "Bacterial small subunit ribosomal RNA", at positions 524 to 776 of the family's 1533-position model. The record is from RNAcentral.